Molecule: transfer RNA, 66 nt
Filed under: Crepidodera sp. BMNH 846613
Lineage: Eukaryota; Metazoa; Arthropoda; Insecta; Coleoptera; Chrysomelidae
Description: tRNA-Leu
Rfam family: tRNA
About the family: Transfer RNA (tRNA) molecules are approximately 80 nucleotides in length. Their secondary structure includes four short double-helical elements and three loops (D, anti-codon, and T loops). Further hydrogen bonds mediate the characteristic L-shaped molecular structure. tRNAs have two regions of fundamental functional importance: the anti-codon, which is responsible for specific mRNA codon recognition, and the 3' end, to which the tRNAs corresponding amino acid is attached (by aminoacyl-tRNA synthetases). tRNAs cope with the degeneracy of the genetic code in two manners: having more than one tRNA (with a specific anti-codon) for a particular amino acid; and 'wobble' base-pairing, i.e. permitting non-standard base-pairing at the 3rd anti-codon position.
Source: RNAcentral
UCUAAUGUGGCAGAUUAGUGCAUUGGAUUUAAGACCCAAAUAUAAAGAUUUAAUCUUUUUUUAGAA